AGAGUGAACGCUGGCGGUAGGCCUAACGCAUGCAAGUCGAACGGCAGCACAGUGGUAGCAAUACCAUGGGUGGCGAGUGGCGGACGGGUGAGGAAUACAUCGGAAUCUACCUUUUCGUGGGGGAUAACGUAGGGAAACUUACGCUAAUACCGCAUACGCCCUUCGGGGGAAAGCCGGGGAUCGCAAGACCUGGCGCGGAUAGAUGAGCCGAUGUCGGAUUAGCUAGUUGGUGAGGUAAUGGCUCACCAAGGCGACGAUCCGUAGCUGGUCUGAGAGGAUGAUCAGCCACACUGGAACUGAGACACGGUCCAGACUCCUACGGGAGCAGCAGUGGGGAAUAUUGGACAAGUGGGCGCAAGCCUGAUCCAGCCAUACCGCGUGGGUGAAGAAGGCCUUCGGUUGUAAAGUCCCUUUUGUUAGGAAAGAAAGCAAUCGGUUAAUACCGGUUGUUACUAGACGUACCCAAAGAAUAAGCACCGCUAACUCGACGCCAGCAGCCGACGUA
Molecule: ribosomal RNA, 505 nt
Filed under: uncultured soil bacterium
Lineage: Bacteria
Description: bacterial SSU rRNA
Rfam family: Bacterial small subunit ribosomal RNA
Source: RNAcentral